UAAGAACCUCACUGUUUUGUUUAUGUUACUUGGGGUAGCUACUCGACUAGCAUUCCUCAAGAUGUCAAAAAUAGAGUUUCUGAGAUUGUUUCUCAACGAAAGAUUGACAGCUGCUGCUGAUGAGAUAUUUGGAACAAUUGAAAAGACAAUUAUAGAGUACCAGGAAGAAGUUUCCCGCACGAAAGAGGAGAACAGCCGUCUACGGGGGAUGCUAAGGUUACACAAAACAGACCCCCAGCCGCUGACUGUCUCUGACGAGGAUCUUCCCCCUGAGCAGCAGCACUGUGAGCAGCAGUGGAGCCCUAGUCUGGAACCGGAUGGUCCGGAGGCCACACAGAUUAAAAAGGAGCAGGAGGAACUCCGGACCAGUCGGAGGGAAGAGCAACUCCAAUGGCUAGAGUCUGGUACCAAAGACUUCACAUUCAGUCCUGCCUGUUUGAAAAGUAACUAUGAUCCGAUUCAGAACCCAACUCAUUCAUCACAUCUUGACCAAAUACAAAGUGAGACAAACAGUGAGAACCCAAGUCAGUCCUCAUACCUUCACCAAAUAGAAAGCGAGGAAGACGGAGAGAACCCGGCAGCUCAGUCCUCAUAUCUUUACCAAAUACAAAGUCAGGAAAACCGAGAGAAGCCAUGGCAAUGCCGUGUUUGUGACAAAUGUUUCAGCAAUAUUCAUCAUCUGAAAGCGCACGUGAGGAGUCACACAGGGGAGAGACCAUAUAAGUGUCCUAUAUGUAGAAAAUGCUUUAUGACAACAAGCGCAUUGAAUAGGCAUCAGACAAUUCACACUGAUGGAAAGCCGUUUAGGUGUAAUUAUUGUGGCAAAUCCUUCAAAUGGAUGAACUCCCUUGGAAGGCACAUAAGGAUUACCCAUGAGAGGGAGAAUAUAUGACAGCACCUUGUGUGGGGAAAGGGCAACAGUUGUUAUGAAAAAGUUACAUCCUGAUGCGUUUUAUUCUAUUUCCAUAUAAUAUUAUAAUAUGCCAUAUGCUAUUGCCAUAUAAUUACACUAUAACAAAAUAGAACACUAUGUUAUGGUUAAUUAUAGGGGCGGCAGGGUAGCCUAGUGGUUAGAGCAUUGGACUAGUAACCGGAAUUUUGCAAGUUCAAAUCCCCGAGCUGACAAGGUACAAAUCUGUCAUUCUGCCCCUGAACAGGCAGUUAACCCACUGUUCCUAGGCCGUCAUUGAAAAUAAGAAUUUGUUCUUAACUGACUUGCCUAGUUAAAUAAAGGUAAAAUAAAUAGGAUAUCUAUGGCUAUUUUGUGUGUGUUGUCUUUUACAUGUUUGUAACCACUUUCCAUUUACAUUACAUUUACACUUUCCCAGGGACUGCAGAUGGAAAUAUGUCUUGAUCAAUGUGCGUUGUCUUUGUCAUAAAAAUCAAAUAAGGUCAAGAUUUAGAGGCGUAUCUUACACCUGUCUGUGCAUAAAGAUUGUUUUUGUCAUGUUCAUAUGGUGUAAUGUCAUGUCACAUCUGUUUUGACCAUUUCCUCCAGUGCUCACAAGAUCCAAAACAUUUUCCAUAUGCCUACAUUACUGUCCUUUUUUAUACCUCAGUGAUCUUUCUAAUGUGCACACCUGAUGGCAAAAAAUAAAUAAUCAACACACCAAA
This is a long non-coding RNA of Oncorhynchus gorbuscha (pink salmon), 1614 nucleotides long. RefSeq lists it as uncharacterized. The record is from RefSeq and is a predicted model, not a curated record. The transcript has 2 exons. Lineage: Eukaryota; Metazoa; Chordata; Actinopteri; Salmoniformes; Salmonidae.